UCAAGGGGCUGGUUGAGCGGUUGGUGGCAGUUUGGUGGAAGAAAUUCAACCACCUGAUAAGAAGUUGGACUUGAUGAAUCCGAAGAUCACUUUCAACCUCUGGGUGCAAUGACUUAUUAUCUGCCCAGUUUACCUGUGCCUGGUUCAUGAAAAACUAGAGCCUGUUACUUAAAGUGUGGUCUGUGGAUCAGCAGUAUUAGCACCUCUUGGGAGGAUGUUAGAAACCAAAUUCUUGGGCUCCACCCUUGAUCUACGGAAUCAGAAUCUGGGGGUGGAGCUCAGGAAUCUGUUUGUAACAAGCUCACUAAGAUUCUGAUGACCAGUAAUCAUUGAGAAGCGUUGCUUUAGCUCAAUAAUCCUUGAGCGUUACUAAGCAUCAGAAGCCAAAUUAUCUUACCGGUGCUUUUUGAAAUGCAGAUUACCCAGAUUUCCCCCAGAGAUUCUUCCUUCUUAGAUACGGGGUGUCUCGCUGGAAUCUGCAUUUUAACAAGUGCCUCAAGGGAAUCAGAUCCACGUAACUGAGAACCAUUCAAGCACUUGAAUGCUUGAAACACUGCAUUCAAGUCUGUUUUUAAUCCAGAUCCUCGCCAGAGCUUCAGGAGUCAGGGAGGAUGUGGUCACUGUGGCUUCUGCUUGGUCCCACUCGCUCAUUUGCUUGUCACUCCUGGCUACCAUAAUCGUCACCACCCCCCAGGAUGGGGAAGGAGAGUAUUCAAAGUCCUUACAAUGGCUCACAAGACUCUACCUGACCUGGCCCUGCCCACUGCAGUGUUCUCACCUUACAUUCUUGCCAAACAUGCCUCGCCACAGGGGCCCCUGCUGUUCCAGCCAAUACAUUAAGCGUGUUCCCACCUCUCUGGGCCUUGGUGUUCUAUCUGCCUGGAAUGUCUUCCUUCUGCUUCUCCUGGCGCACAGGCUCAAGUAAACGAACACCAUUUCAGAGGAAGAGUGCAGAGGAACCCUGGAGGUCAGCUCUCCCUGGAAAUGUGUGAUGGCUAGCAUCAUUUGAAUUUGCCUACUUACAAUACGGAAGUUACCCAACCCAGGGCAGAGCUGAUGAGCUUAAGGUUUGGAGGCUAUUUUCAUCAAGGACAUUCUAUGCCUUGAGUAAGAAUUUUGCAUGGUUCACCAUGAAGAAUGAGAAGAGCUUAUACUUUGUGACUUAUCCUCUCUUUUUUUGUAAAACCCAAGUGGAAUGAGAAGAAUUUUUUCUCUCUGUCUGGGAUCACCUGAAUUUGUGGUUUUUCCCUGGCUUAGGGGAGAGAGAAUGCUUUUAAAAUGGCAUUUCCCUAUUUACGGAUGGAAUAACGAUGUAUGAAAUUGCUUUGAAAAAGUCCAGUAGGAGUGUGUGGGCAUAUAGAUGAAAGAAGAUUGGCUGUGAGUGAUAAUUACUGAAGCUGCUUGAUGGGUACAUUGCGACUCAUCAUACUUAUUCUCUCUCUAUAAAUUUAAAAAUAGCAAUUCUCUGAGGGAUUUCUAUGGGACACUCUGAAAAAAAGAAGAGGUGGAUUCUGCAGUCAAAAUUUAGGAAAUACAAUUUACUAGAUCCUUUCCUUGAAAGCCACAGUACAUAUUAGAAUACUAAAGACUCUGAGGAGUCCUGAGUUUAAGAGACUUUUAAACACAGUUUAACGCACGUUCUGUUCCUAAGGCUAAUUUGAUUACUGAAACCCAUUUUUAACUGGGUAGUGCCUGUAAACAACUUGGCAAACUAGCCUUCCAUGGGAUGUACUUUGGUGAACCUGUUUUAAAAGAUCAUGGGGUGACUUUGUUCAUGAAAGAGAACAAGAAUGAAGGCUAGGUUCCCUACUCUUUCUGCCCAGAACAGCUUUUCAGGAUUGGGGAAGAUUUAUUUUUCUUGGAACACAAAGGAAACGCAAGGAAACCAGCUACUGAAUAUGAGUCAAGCCAACGCCCCAAACCUCCAUGGGGAGAUCUCAGCUCACUGCGCUGGGUUAGACACACACAGCAGGAACAGAAUAUGUCUCAUGAUUAGGGACAUGGCUCCUGGGAUCGGACAGCCUGGGAUGGCUUCACAUCCCAAGUGUGUGACCAUGGGCAAGUUGCCUAACCUUUUUGUGCCUCAAUUUCUUCAUCUAUAGAAUAGAAUGGUUGCUAGAUUUAGCAAACAAAAAUACAGAAUACCCAAAUGUUGAUGGAACAUAUUAUACUGAAAAAAUAUUUGCUGUUUAUCUGAAAUUCAAAUUUAACUGGGCAUCCUGUGUGUUUUUGGCAACUCUACUUUAUAGGGUUGUUGGGAGGAUUAUGUGACAUUAUCUAUAGUGAACUCUCAGAACAGUGCCUGGCACCUCGUAAGCACUCAAUUAACUAUAGGCUAUUGUCAUGAAUAUUACCACUUUAAUCAGAGGCCCCUUUCUUUAAUUCUGGUUCUCUUAAUAAUUUUCUAAGGAUUUCCAUGGUUAUAUAUUUGAACCAUUUAUAGUCAAAUAUUUUCUAUAAUCAAUAAUAAGAAGAAAGUGAUAUCUUCUGCCUUAAGUCCUUGCAUAGAAAUUGUUUUGUGAGGGCCAAAAAAGAUAUAUUAAGUUGCCUUUCAUCCACCAUUAAUAGAAGGAAGCCGUGGUAGGAAAACUUAUUAACAUUAGCCUUGUGUGACGAUUGUUAAUUUUUUUUUAGCUCCAAGAGAGCCACUUUUGUAAGGUUUUUCUUAGGGAAGAAUUAACUUGUAGUCCCUGGAUACAUGUUAACCAAGAGGGGAGUGAGAGAAAGGAAACCCACAACAGUUUGGUAAGCAAGGGGAGUUAGCCUGGGGUAUAGUGAAAUACAGAGGAGAGAACCGAUCCAUUCAGUUAACUGAGAGUUCACUGUAAUAUCUCAGAGAAGAUUACCACUCAGUCGGCUUGUCACAGGUUUACCGUGUUGGCAGUGAAAUUUCUCCUACACUUGCUUAAUUCACAUGUUGGCAAGGAACCCAUGAAUAUAACCAAAACUCUAACUCACAUGGAUUUCUCUAUAGAAGGUACACAAUAUUGUAAAAUUGUAAAAUUUUUUCAGCACAGAAGCCUGGCAGCUGAUAAAUCAUUUGUAAAUAAAUUAAUGAUAUAUUUCGCUCUCCCUGUUGACUCAUGACCUAGUAAAGAUCUACUGGACUAAGAAUCAUAAUUUGCAUAAACAUAUGGUUAUGAAAUUUUCCUGUAGAAGGGAAAGAAAGGAGUUCUGAAUGCACCAAGCUGAGAACAUAAGAACUUCAUGUUUAAUUAAAUAAAAGGUGAACUCCCUUCAAAUUAUAAAAAUAAAUUGAGUCUGCUUACAGAAAGGAAAUUUACUUAUUUACCAGCAUACUUUCACUCUAUCAAAUAAAAAAUGUGGGGAAGAGAAAGAGAUGGAGACAGCCCGUGAAAGACAGAGAGGGUCAGAGGCAGAGAGAGACAGUGAGUGAAACAGAAAGAAGAGAAACAGAGAGACACAAUCAAAGACAGAAACCAGGAGACGUAGAUGGAUUAAUUCCAGAGCUUGAAUGUAAAGUGGUAAAUCCCCUUUACUUUGCAAACUCUCUUUUAAUUUUUAAAACAAUGCCAACAGUAUAUUUUCUUUCCCUGGCAUUACGCGCUAGCUACCCCCCCCCCCUUUUUUUCAUAACUUGUCACACAUAACAUGGGGUGGGGUGACAACACGAUUUUAAUGGUCAGCUAAAUCUAUGUCUCAGGAAGUCAUCCUAAAACUCUUGAGUUUAGUUUCACUUUUAUGCUUUAAAGACUGUUUACAAAUACAUUUUCCAAUUUCCUGAUAAACAAGAGGGGAAGGAGCUAUCUAGUUCAGCAAAUGACUGUCUUUUGGUUUGCAAAGAAAUAAUCAUUAAACUGAGGGAACCAGUUUAGUUCCCGGUGCUACCCAGCGCCAGCGAGGCUUCUCCUGGCCUCUGCGGCUGUCAAAAGAAAUCUGCAUUCAAGGCAGUUGCAAAGUAAGUGAAUAACCAAAUAACAUGGGCAAAGGCACACAGCCAACCAAACACCUUUUUGUCAGGACACGUUAAGGCUUCCUCAUGAAGAACUUGAGAAACUUGAUUAUUCACUUUCGGAGUCUGGUCUCCCGGAGACGAUAAAAUGCAAGGGUAAAAGGAAACCUGAUGUUGGUUCUUCAGACCCUGCUAGUAACACAGUUUUAAGGGGAAAGCAAGGAGAAAA
Non-coding RNA from Equus caballus (horse), 4142 nucleotides. The record is from RefSeq and is a predicted model, not a curated record. Lineage: Eukaryota; Metazoa; Chordata; Mammalia; Perissodactyla; Equidae.